This 301-nucleotide long non-coding RNA is filed under the name Prunus persica (peach). Its description in RNAcentral is "long non-coding RNA (PPER_LNC005425)". Lineage: Eukaryota; Viridiplantae; Streptophyta; Magnoliopsida; Rosales; Rosaceae. The record is from RNAcentral.
UGCAGUGGCACUGUGUCCUGAUGCGAUCCCUAGGUUGUCACGAGCGCGUAGGAAUUCGCGGAUCUCAAUUUGGAUAUCAUUUGAGCCUCAAACGGAUUUUUCAUAUUGUGCGAUUUCCAGGUUCAAUACUGUUGAGCCGUUGGAUCGUAACCAGUUUCAGAUAUGUUACUCUAGACAAUUUCAGAAUCAUGUAGAAUUCGACGGAUUGUGAACUGGAGUUCCGGAUUGGGUCCACUCACCCUUUUUGUUGUUUUGCGCCCCCAGGCAGUAGAAGUGCACAGGAAUCCACCACCGAGCCGUU